GCUCCAAUAGCGUAUAUUAAAGUUGUUGCAGUUAAAACGCUCGUAGUCGGAUUUCGGGGCGGGGCCGCCGGUCUGCCGAUGGGUAUGCACUGGCGGUCGCGUCCUUCCUUCCGGAGACUGGCCUACUCUUAACUGAGCGGGGUCGGGGAGACGGAUCGUUUACUUUGAAAAAAUCAGAGUGUUCAAAGCAGGCCUUUGCC
RNAcentral lists this ribosomal RNA (200 nucleotides) under uncultured eukaryote. RNAcentral describes it as "partial 18S ribosomal RNA". It matches the Rfam family "Eukaryotic small subunit ribosomal RNA", at positions 588 to 795 of the family's 1831-position model. The record is from RNAcentral.